CCCAAUCCCAUUCCCCAUCCGUUUCCCAUCCCAUCCCCAUUCCUGUUCCCAUUCCCAUCCCCAUCCCCAUCCCCAUUUCCCCAUUCCCAAUCCCCAAUCCCAUCCCUGUUCCUGUUCCCAUUCCCAUCCCCAUCCCCAUCCCCAUUUCCCCAUUCCCAAUCCCCAAUCCCAUCCCCGUUCCUGUUCCCAUUCCCAUCUCCAUCUCCAAUCCCACCCCAUCCCCAUUUCCCAUCCCCAUUCCCAAUCCCCAAUUCCAUUCCCAUCCCGUUCUCAUUCCUAUUCCUGUUCCCAUCCCAAUCCCAUCCCCAUUCCUGUUCCCAUCUCCAUUCCCAUCCCCAAUCCCCUUUUCCCAUCCCCAUCCCCAUUCCUGUUCUCACCCCAUCCCCAAUCCCAUCCCAUCCCCAUCCCCAUUCCCAUCCCCAAUCCCAUCCCCAUUCCCAUCCCCAAUCCCCUUUUCCUAUCCCCGUUUCCCAUCCCAUCCCUGUUCCUGUUCCCACCCCAUCCCCAUCCCCAUUUCCCCAUUCCCAAUCCCCAUUCCCAUCCCCAUUCCUGUUCCCAAUCCCCAAUUCCAUUCCCAUCCCGUUCUCAUUCCUAUUCCUGUUCCCAUCCCAUUCCCAUUCCCAUCCCCAUCCCCAUUCCCAAUCCCCAUUCCCAAUCCCCUUUUCCCAUCCCCAUCCCCAUCCCAUCCCCAUUUCCCAUCCCCAUUUCCCGUCCCCGUUUCCCAUCCCCGUUUCCCGUUCCCAUUCCCAUCCCCAUUUCCCAUCCCCAAUCCCAUUUCCCAUCCCCAAUCCCAUUUCCCAUCCCCAUCCCCAAUCCCCAUUUCCCAUCCCCAUUCCCAAUCCCCUUUUCCCAUCCCCGUUCCUGUUCCCAUCCCCAUCCCCAUCCCCAUUCCCAUCCCCAUCCCCAUUCCCAAUCCCCUUUCCCCGUUUCCCAUCCCGUUUCCCCGUGCCGGUGUCGUUGUUCUGACCGGAACCGGGGUGUUGGGGUGUAGGGCGGGGGUUGCCAGCUCAGUCCCUUGGUCAGGAGCCGGGUGAGGGCCGAGGCCGUGGCG
This 1051-nucleotide long non-coding RNA is filed under the name Parus major (Great Tit). RNAcentral's name for it is "lncRNA (ENSPMJG00000002504.1)". The record is from RNAcentral. Lineage: Eukaryota; Metazoa; Chordata; Aves; Passeriformes; Paridae.